This 735-nucleotide ribosomal RNA is filed under the name Triticum aestivum (bread wheat). RNAcentral describes it as "partial small subunit ribosomal RNA". Lineage: Eukaryota; Viridiplantae; Streptophyta; Magnoliopsida; Poales; Poaceae. The record is from RNAcentral.
ACAGUGCAGCUCAAGGGCAUGGUGCUGAAGCUGUCGGGCACGCAGAGGCAGGGGGUGCCGAAGCGGGGCGGCUCGCCGCCGCCGAGGGGCCGGACCACGUCCCUCUACCGGAGUGGGUACUACUGGCCGGGCGUGGUGCAGGACGACAUGGCGGUGCCGCCGGCCGCGUACCUGGGCCACGGCGCCGGGGGCGGCGGCGGCACGGCGGCGUCGAGCGCGAGCUCCACGCCGGCGUGGGAGCGGCCGCCCAACGGCGGCGAGGCGGCGGUGAGGGAGUGGGUGGCGCAGGUGGAGCCCGGGGUGCAGAUCAUGUUCGUGUCGCUGGCGGGUGGCGCCGACAACGACCUGAAGCGCAUCCGGUUCAGCCGGGAGAUGUCCGACAAGUGGCAGGCGCAGCGGUGGUGGGGCGACAACAACGAGCGCAUCAUGGAGCUCUACAACGUCCGCCGCUUCACUCGCCAGGUGCUCCCCGACCCGCCCCGCGGCGACGACGCCGCCGAGUCACCCGCUCUCGGUGCGCCGACGAUGGCACGGCGUUUUUCAAAGCUGAAGGAUUUGCUUGUGUGUCAGCAGCGGGAGUCGUUCUACUCGCAGUCGCAGGUGGGCUCGACCAUGGGCAGCCCGGCGGCGACGCUGUCGCCGGCGCCGGAGAGCAUCGCCUGGGGCGCGGCCUUCGCCCGCCCGCAGCCCUCCGCCGCGCCCCUGGCCAAGCAGUUAAACUCGGGUGAAUUGUGA